UACGGGGGAUGCAAGCGUUAUCCGGAAUCAUUGGGCGUAAAGCGCCUGUAGGUUGUUUAGUAAGUCUGUUGUUAAAGACUAGGGCUUAACCCUAGGAAAGCAAUGGAAACUACUAGACUUGAGUAUGGUAGGGGUAGAGGGAAUUUCUAGUGUAGCGGUGAAAUGCGUAGAUAUUAGAAAGAACACCAGAGGCGAAAGCGCUCUACUGGGCCAUUACUGACACUCAGAGGCGAAAGCUAGGGGAGCGAACGGG
RNAcentral lists this ribosomal RNA (253 nucleotides) under uncultured bacterium. Its description in RNAcentral is "partial 16S ribosomal RNA". It matches the Rfam family "Bacterial small subunit ribosomal RNA", at positions 524 to 776 of the family's 1533-position model. The record is from RNAcentral.